GACGAACCGUGCGAACGUUGUUCGGAAUCACUGGGCUUAAAGGGUGCGUAGGCGGGCCAUCAAGUCCGGGGUGAAAUCCUCCAGCUUAACUGGAGAAUGGCCUUGGAUACUGGUGGCCUCGAGGGAGGUAGGGGAGCGCGGAACUGAUGGUGGAGCGGUGAAAUGUGUUGAUAUCAUCAGGAACUCCGGUGGCGAAAGCGGCGCUCUGGACCUCAUCUGACGCUGAGGCACGAAAGCUAGGGGAGAGAACGGG
RNAcentral lists this ribosomal RNA (253 nucleotides) under uncultured bacterium. Its description in RNAcentral is "partial 16S ribosomal RNA". It matches the Rfam family "Bacterial small subunit ribosomal RNA", at positions 524 to 776 of the family's 1533-position model. The record is from RNAcentral.